GGUAUGUAACAAUAUAACAAUACUACAUUGUUGUUACUAGUGUAAUAAUAGCAUAACCACACAUAUCUACCUAGCUAUACAUGUCUACUUUGAUAACAAGGUUGCCAAGAAAAUUUAAUAAUUAUUUCCUUUUCAAAUGUGAUAAAAGUAGCCCUUUGCAAUGCACCCUUCUAUCUUAUAGUGCAUCCAGCGUUGUAUCUCCUCUCUUUCUAGGUGCCUUCACACAAAGCCCUCUUUUCACUUCUCAAACAAGUUCAGGCUAGCUUUGUAAUGGGCAAUCGCCAUGAAAAGCCAGAGUCAGUCAGACAGGAAGAGACCAUACAAUAAUUGAAAUAUGCAGUACUACAAUACCCUUGUAUAACACUAUUGACAUGUAAGGGCCCAUAGAAACUAAAUGAAUACAUUUUAGCAGAGUUGGGUUGCCAGACGCUGUCCGUCCGUCCGUCCGUCUGUCUUUCUUCCAAUUUUGCUAUGUUCAGGUCAAUUGAGCAGCUUGGUUUUAGAAGAGUGACUGACAGACAAGCAGCGUAACCUCUCAGUCAUCUCAGGAAACGUCAUACCCAGGGGCUGCACAGCUUUUACUUCCAUUAGUCUUCAUUUCAGGAUCGCACAGGGCUUUGACGUCCACUAAAAGAAGGCUGUGUGCAAACAUACGUCCUUCUUCAUGAAGAAAAAACAAGGAUUACUUUAGGAUGACACAAUGAAAGUUAUUUAGAGGGGCGGUUUAUUUUGGGUGACCUUCAAUAUUGACUAAAAAGAGACCAAAAUAAGGACACAUUCAAUAACCCUGCGGUCUACAUCACAGAAAAUGGCUUCUCCCAGGUGGGGCCAGUGGACAUGAAAGACAUCCAGCACUGUAGGUUUUACCAGGACAUCAUCCAGGGAGUAGCCAGAGGUUGCUUUGCACAUCAAAUCCUAGUGUAUAUGCAAGAUCCAGAAACUACGGGGGCUGAGUCACCUGAUUCCAAUUUGAUGAUCCUGUUCUGUUGUCUUAGAUCUCAGAGAGGAUGGUGUUGACGUGCUAGGUUACUUCACAUGGUCCUUCCUGGAUAACUUUGAAUGGGCCGACGGGUUCGCUUCGGCCUGUUCCACAUGGACUUCUCUCGACCAGAGUGACCGUGGACCGCGUACCACUCUGGAAGGGGGUACUCCGGGAUCAUCUCCAAGUACAGAUCUCAGACCAGGACAAAUAACUAAAGAGCCAAUGGGCACAGAGCAAAUCAGCCAAAUCAGCCAAUAAAAGCUAUUUUUUUGCUCAACGUUCUGUUCUAAUCAACUACAACCAAGCUUGGUCCAUUGGAGUGUUCCUUCAUGCCAUUUUGAUUUGAAGCCCAUCUGAAACACAUUGUAGUUGUGAAGUCUUUAAGACGUUCCUUCUCACCACUUUUCUCUGUCAACCCUGAAAAUGUUUUGUAAAACAGUGCUAAGCUCAUUCGGCUCCCUUCGCAAGGAAGUGAUUUUGUCUGAUUUCUUCCCUGACUUUGGCAUAGAACUGCAAGAACCCGGCCAAAGAGUGU
This 1517-nucleotide long non-coding RNA is filed under the name Salmo salar (Atlantic salmon). Its description in RNAcentral is "lncRNA (ENSSSAG00000100126.1)". Lineage: Eukaryota; Metazoa; Chordata; Actinopteri; Salmoniformes; Salmonidae. The record is from RNAcentral.